Molecule: long non-coding RNA, 1235 nt
Filed under: Mytilus galloprovincialis (Mediterranean mussel)
Lineage: Eukaryota; Metazoa; Mollusca; Bivalvia; Mytilida; Mytilidae
Source: RNAcentral
GGCCGUUAGUUUUCUUGUUUGAAUUGUUUUGCAUUGUUAUUUCGGGCCCUUUUAUAGCUUACUAUGUGGUAUGGGCUUUGCUCAUUGUUGAAGGCCGUACGGUGACUUAUAGUUUUUAAUUUCUGUGUUAUUUUGGUCUCUUGUGGAGAGUUGUCUCAUUGACAAUCAUACCACAUCUUCUUUUUUAUAUUUAUAUGAGUAUAUUAAAUAUACAUGUAUAUACCAAGCUAAGUCAGUUUAUAUCUUGUUUCUCGUCUGACUAUACAAAAGGCUAGGAGAGCUACUUUGAUAGAUCAGGUUGACUGAUAAGCUGUCUAUAUAAAGUAAUGGGACAAUGCAUGACAUGAAGACAUCACCAAAUCACCGUACAUGUAUGUAAUACUCAAAAAGACAUCCAGAGCUUACCAUAGUCAUCAACUACCCACCAACAGGCCGUGAGCUCUGGUUGGCUCUUAAUUCAAAUCCAAGAGCACAGCAAAAUGUCAAAAUAUUCUAUUCAAACUGGGUGACCUGGGAGAAAAACAUUGAAACUUUCCAAAGAAAUACAACCCCCCCUCCUCAACUUUUUAAUAAGGAGAUAUGGUAUUAUUGCAAAUGAGUCAACUAUCCCACAAAGUUCAAAUGUAGUGGAUGUAAGCAGUUAUAUACAAGCAACCAUAUAACCUUCAACAAUGAGAAAAAAAACAUACGGUAUUGUCGGCUACAAUAGUCCAUGAAAUGAAAAAUAUGAAACAGUUCAAUUGAGAAAAAUAACGGCCUAUUUUAAAACAACAUAAAUUACGAAAAACAAAUAUGAAGACAUCAACAAACGACAACCACUGAACUACAUGCUCCUGGGUUGGAACAGGCACAUGCAAUAUAUGGCGGAGUUUAACAUGUUUGUGAGCGCUCAAUCCUCCCCUGAACCUGAAACAGUUUGUUACAGCACAGCAUAAGAACAAACUAUACAAAUCAUCGGAAAAGGGCUUAACGCAUGAGAUCGAUACAAAACAGAUGAAAAAAAAAACAUCUAACAAAAACACAUACCGAAUGUGGCAGGGUAUUUAUACAUCGUUUUCAAACAAUCAAAGUACUGAAGUACUGAACAUCGAAUGACUGCAAGUUCUUUUGGAUUGUCACAAGCACUUGUUUCAGAAAAAAAUAUCACAUCUCUAUACCUGAAAGUGAGGUUAAUAUACAGAUAAAAUUUUCUUUCUGAGACAAGUUCUUGCGUGUAUGGUGAAUAAAUGACAGGG